Molecule: long non-coding RNA, 347 nt
Organism: Macadamia integrifolia
Lineage: Eukaryota; Viridiplantae; Streptophyta; Magnoliopsida; Proteales; Proteaceae
Exons: 2
Source: RefSeq, a predicted model, not a curated record
ACAACCUUAAAAUUGUGGAAGGGAGAGAAAGAAGGAGAAGUAAGAGGAGGAGCAUUUAGCUACUCCCCCUUGGUUGCCAACUCUUACCCAGAUGAUGAAGCAAGUACGGUCUACCUUUGAGCAGCGACACUUCCUACUCUAUGGUGAGUAUGGUGGAGACUGGUGGAAUCCAGAGGCUGAGGAGCACAAUGUGGAUUGUGCUAGCGAUGACUGUGCUUAUAGUGCGUAUAAUCCAGAAUAUGUGUUGUCCAUUGUCAUUGCCUUGUUUUUAGAUGUUAUGCUCUUUUGAUACAGUAUUGUAUGUGUCAGUCAUAUAAUUAAUGGAGGAUAAACUUGUUAGUUUACAA